Molecule: non-coding RNA, 206 nt
Organism: Pelobates cultripes (western spadefoot toad)
Lineage: Eukaryota; Metazoa; Chordata; Amphibia; Anura; Pelobatidae
Source: the annotation of a GenBank genome assembly
GGGGAAAGGCAGCAGGGACACAUGGGGACACUGAGACACUAGGGGACACUGAGACACUAAGGGACAUAUGGGGACACUGAGACACUAGGGGACACAGACACUAGGGGACACAUGGGGGCACAGACACUAGGGGACACUGAGACACUAGGACACAUGGGGACACAGACACUGGGAGACCUGGGAACACUGAGACACUUGGGGACACU